GGGCCCGCACAAGCGGUGGAGCAUGUGGUUUAAUUCGAUGAUACGCGAGGAACCUUACCAGGGUUUAAAUGCAGAACGACAGGGGUGGAAACACCCCCUUCUUCGGACGGACUGCAAGGUGCUGCAUGGUUGUCGUCAGCUCGUGCUGUGAAGUGUCGGGUUAAGUCCCAUAACGAGCGCAACCCCCAUUUCUAGUUGCCAGCGGUUCGGCCGGGGACUCUAGAGAAACUGCCAGCGUAAGCUGUGAGGAAGGUGGGGAUGACGUCAAAUCAUCACGGCCCUUACAUCCUGGGCCACACACGUGCUACAAUGGUGGGGACAACAGGUUGCCAACCCGCGAGGGUGAG
Molecule: ribosomal RNA, 347 nt
Filed under: uncultured bacterium
Lineage: Bacteria
Description: bacterial SSU rRNA
Rfam family: Bacterial small subunit ribosomal RNA
Source: RNAcentral